RNAcentral lists this ribosomal RNA (118 nucleotides) under uncultured bacterium. Its description in RNAcentral is "partial 16S ribosomal RNA". It matches the Rfam family "Bacterial small subunit ribosomal RNA", at positions 1384 to 1500 of the family's 1533-position model. The record is from RNAcentral.
UACACACCGCCCGUCACACCAUGGAAGUUGGCUGCACCAGAAGUAGUUAGUCUAACCGCAAGGGGGACGAUUACCACGGUGUGGUCAAUGACUGGGGUGAAGUCGUAAACAAGGUACC